GGUUCCAUGGUGCAAUGGUUAGUACUCUGGACUUUGAAUCCAGUGAUCCGAGUUCGAGUCUCGGUGGAACCU
Molecule: transfer RNA, 72 nt
Filed under: Schistocerca americana (American grasshopper)
Lineage: Eukaryota; Metazoa; Arthropoda; Insecta; Orthoptera; Acrididae
Description: tRNA-Gln
Rfam family: tRNA
About the family: Transfer RNA (tRNA) molecules are approximately 80 nucleotides in length. Their secondary structure includes four short double-helical elements and three loops (D, anti-codon, and T loops).
Source: RNAcentral